UAUUUCUCUUUUCUGGUAAUCUUUAUCCAUCCCCGAGCACUUGAAUUUCCUGGUAUCUUUUUUUUUUUUUUUUUUUUUGCAGCCUGAGGAACUUCCUUUAGCAUUUCUUUUUUUUUUUUUUUUUUUUUUUUUUUUGAGACAGGGUCUUGCUCUGUCACCCAAGCUGGGUGAUCUCAGCUCACUGCAACCUCUGCCUCCCAGGCUCAAAUGAUCCUCCUGCCUCAGCCUUCUGAGUAGCUGGGACUAAGGACAUGUGCCACCAUGUCUGGUGUAUUUUUGUAUUUUUUGUAUUUUGUAAUUUUUGUAUUUUUUGUAGAGAAGGGUUUCAACAUGUUGCCCUGGCUGGUCUCAAACUCCUGGUCUCAAGGGAUCCGUCCACCUCAGCCUCCGAAAGGGCUGGGAUUACAGGCGUGAGCCACCAUGCCUGGCCUCCUUUAGGAUUUUCUGUACAACAGGUGAGUGCACUGCAAGAAGGUGGCCAUCUGCAAGCCAGGAAGAGGGCCCUUGCCAGAAACUGAACUGCCUGGCGUCUUGAUCUCGGACUUCCCAGCCUCCAGAACUGUGAGAAAAUAAAUGUCUUGUUUAAACCACCUAGUCUAUGGUAUUUUGCUACAGCAGCCCAAGCAGACUAAUACACAUACCUUCUAAAAGUAUUUAGAAAACCUAUGUAUCUUGCAUUUUUUUUUUUUUUGAGACACGGUCUCCUGCUGUUGCCCAGGCUGGAGUGCAAUGGUGCAAUCUCUGCUCACUGCAACCUCUGCCUCCUGGGUUCAAGAGAUUCUCCUACCUCAGCCUCCCAAGUAGCUGGGGCUACAGGUGCACACCACCAUGCCUGGCUAAUUU
This 843-nucleotide long non-coding RNA is filed under the name Homo sapiens (human). RNAcentral describes it as "HSALNT0215750". The record is from RNAcentral. Lineage: Eukaryota; Metazoa; Chordata; Mammalia; Primates; Hominidae.